AACAGUUGAGCAACAUAUUCUCCCAGUUCAAAAACCCAAAUAUCUUGUGACAUUACCACUGCUAUCUGAAUUUCUCCUUCACAAUCAAAAUCAACAACUCCUGGGACUACAGUAAUUCCCUGUGCCACUUGUGGCUGUCUGCCACAAGUACUAUUUGAGACCAUCACUACAACAGUUACUACUUGAGACCGUCAUUACAAGAGUUACUUCUGUUACUACUUGAGACCGUCAUUACAACAGUUACUGCUGUGACUACUUGAGACCGUCAUUAUGAAACUGAAUGAAGGGAUGAACAUAGAAAUGAAAACUUAAGACAAAAGAAACUGUUUUAAAGGAAGGGUCCAGGGGAAGGAAAAGAGAGUUCUCUGCUUCUAGUGAGCAAAGGCAGCCCCUGAAAUUCCACAGCCCUUUGGAUUUAUUGGGUAGCAAAAGCAGGGAGGAGGAGGUAACAAUUGGUCAGCUGCUUAAUUUAUAACAAGUUCAUAUUAUUACUAUAGGGCUUCAGAUGUACCUAAUCAGAAGAAACACUGCACUUGGGGCAUGACUGCCCUCUGCAUUCCUUCUGGGUGGCAGAUGCAGUCUGUCAGUUUGCCAACAUUCUGCAUUUAUGAGAAACAAUUUACUGUUUACUCAUAUAGCCUCCAGUGGUACACUGAGUUGAUCACAACCCUCACUUUUUCGGCCUCCAACAGAGAAGAAGUAUCUUCCACUCUCGGAGGAAUCCUGAACCUCAGGAUGACAUUGCCUCUUGUGUGUGGAUGUCUUUGGCCAAUAAGGGAUAACACUCAAGAGAUUACUGGGGAAGCAAUGAUUGUUAUUGCUAUAGUUUGACAGAUGAAAUUAAUGGCAUUUUUCUAUGUGGUGAUAGGUGUAUGUAAUGAUUCAUAACACAAAAAGAUAUCUACAAAAGAAUGUGCCAUAUCUGAGACCAUGUGAGAUUUUCUCUUUAGGUAUAAUACUUCUUGCCAGCUGGUUAAUCUGCUGAGAGUGAAGUGUGCAAUUUGUAGGCUCAUUCUCUGCUGAGAAUUAUUGAAGUACAAUACAGAUUCUUCUGGACUUACAAUGGCAUUACACAUGAAUAAUAUCUGUACAUAACCCCAUCAUAAAUCCAGGCAUGUACUGAAUGCGUAUCACUUUCACAUCAUCAUAAAAUAGAGAAAUCGUAAGUUGAACCAUCCUAAGUUGAACCAUUGUAAGUUGGGAACAGUCUGUACAUUAUCUCAUUUGAUUCUCACCACUUUGGGAGAGUAGGCAGAAAAAAGUUUACAUAGCAGACCUGAUUGCUCUCCUUAGAAAGGCUUUAUUACAAGGUUUACCUUUGGCUGGCAUCUAAAAACUUGAAUUUCAGGCAUGUCCUCACCAUUACCAGAAUUAAUAAGAAUGCCUCAAUGUGCCUCAACUAUUUGGACAAAUAAUAUGGUUUAUGUUGAAUAUCUUCUUAACCAUCUAGGUGUCUAGAAUUUGAGACAUGCCAGGUAUAGUCUGCCUCCCUCAUCAGUCCCUAAUAAAAACUGGGUGCUGAGAAUCUAAUGAGCUUUUCCGGUUGGCAACAUCUUAUACAUGUUGUCUCCAUUUGUUGCUGAGAGGAUUAAACAUGUUCUGUGUGACUCCACUGGGAAAGGACUCUUGGAAGCUUGCACCUGGCUUCUCCCAGACUUUGUUCAUGUGCUUUUUUUUUUCCUGAUUUUUCUUUGUAUUCUUUCACUGUAGUUAAAUCUUAGCUGUGAAUGUGACCAUAUGCUGAGUCCUGUGAGUCCCCCUAGCAAACUGUUGAACCUGAAGUUGGUCUUGAGGACACCAACGAAGAGCAAUUACUUUUAUUAUCCACAUUUUACAGAAAAGAAAACUGAAGUACAGAAAGGUUAGGGAGGUCCUAGUGUUUCCAUCAAGGCUUUUAUAAGGGUCAAAAAUGAUUCUGGGGAGACAUAGUGCAUAACACCUUAAUCUUCCACUGCUUUUGAGAUGUUUACAAAAUGUAGUUUCCAUAGAUAGUCAUGUUUGUCUGUCAAUGACAAUGUUCUUCCCAUUUCCUGCUGCAAAUAUAUAUUUAUAUAUAAAAUAUGUAAAUACAAAUUAUAUAUACAUAUUAUACACCCCCCUACACACACACACACACACACACACACACACACACACACACGUAAUGUACUGGCAACACGAGAACAAGUGAAAUAUGAGCCAAAUUUAGCCUGCUACCUGCUUUUGUACAACCUGAACGCCAAGAAAACUUUUAUAUUUUUAACUGGUUGAGAAAAAAGGCAACAUUGUGUGACACAUUAAAAUCAUGAGAAAUUAAAAUUUAAGAGAGUUCAUAUAUAAUGCUUUAUUGGAAAAUAUGCAUGCUCAUUAGUUUUUGUGUUUCUAUGGAUACUUUCAUGCUGCAAUGGCAGGUUUGAGUAGUUGAAACAGAGACCAUAUCACCUUCAAAGCCCUUUAUAGAAAAAGUUUGAAACCCCCUCCUCUAGACCUUUCAUGUUCAAGGCCUUCCUCUCCUAGCCAACCUUGUGCAACUUAUACUGUUUUUAUUUCCCACAUAUUAUUUUUCUAGCCCUGUGAUCCUGAAAAAAUUCCCUUAAUCUCCUAAAAUCUGGAGCCCAUGUUAUAUGUUUCUGGCCCUCUGAACUUGGAGAAAAUUUACUUCUUUUCUCUGGGCCUCAGUUCUCCUAUCUGAAAAAUGGGAAUAAUAUGUUACCCUAACAGUAUAUAAAUGGUACUUACUACUAGCAGUCAUUGUAGUUUCUAUAAUACCCAGUAUUUAUUUUUAUCUCCCAGUAUAGAGUUUAUUAUAGAUUGUCAAUAAACAUUUAAAAACAAAAACAAGUUUAUUAGCAUGGUACAAAAGAAAGUAAUCAGGAUUCUGGAAUCAGAAGACUUAUAUCCUAUCCCCAUACCUGUCACUCCUGGUUCAAAAAAUUCGGGCCAACUUCUUACCUUUUCUGUGUGCUAGCAUCCUUGUUGCAAAUAGGCCUGUGACAUUUGCCUGGGUUCCGUUUAAAGAGUACAUCAAAGAAUCAGGUGCAUAUUUUCACAGCUCCUUGGUCUGAAGUGGUACCCAGGAUCAAGAUGUCCCUCCCAUGAUUCUAAUCUCCAGCCCCCUUACACCAUAGUCGCUUCCAAACUCUGGAUUUCUUAGCAUUGCAGUUUGCUUCCAAAAAAAAAUUUAAAAAAAAAAAAACCUCAUCUGGUCAUUAGAAGUCAUUCUGAAGAGGCUGUCCUAUAUCUCAGUGCAAUUUCCUACUUAUCCACGCCAGACUAUACCCUGCUUUCAUCAGAUUGCAACUGACCUAAUUUGCAAAGACUUCAGUGAAAAGAGGCUCAUUAAAAGCCUUCAUAUCUUUAGCAGCCUCUCUUUCCUCCCUCAAAUGAUCUAGGUCAGAAUGGCCCAAUAAAAAUAGCUGGGAAAAUUACAAAGUCACUCAAGACUCUGCCAGGAGUAGAGACUUUAAGAAUUAGUGACAGACAUAUACUGUCUAGGAGCAGGAUGGGAGUGGGUUGCAUGGCUUAGGCACAUACAAAAUGCCUGACAAAGUAUAGCAAUGGCUAACUGCUAUUCCACCCUCAUCUCAUGAUAGGCUGGCCAUGUUUUUCUGUUUCAGAGAUGACAUUGCAGUGACUUAACGCUUUGCCUUUUAAGAUGCAAUGAUGGUUUAAAGGUGAUGGUAUCUGUUACCAAAGCGCUGGGUUGUUAGAGAGUUGAUCUUUAGCUUGGUCUCAAUUCCUCAAUUCUCAGCAGAUUUGUUAGCUGAGCAACAAAGGGCUUGACAUAGAUACAAAAUAAGCAACCAUAAGUAAUAAUAAUUCAUGAGUUUAAAGCAAAAAGGUUUUACUAUGGAUAUCAUCCAAUAUUUGAUCCCUUACCAGAACAUAUAAUCAUACAGAGUUAACAUCUAGAUUUUAAAAUCUUAAUUUAAAUAACUGUGUCACUUUUCUAGAAGCCAUCACUCCUAUAAUAUUAAUUAUCUAAAACAUCAUUAAUAAGUUGAAAGUAUAUGAAAUAGGAAGGCCUUUCAGUGAUUAAAACAGAUAUCAUAAAAUGUAUUUACUAAAGCUGAUAUACUUUACUUAAUUAAACAUUUCUCAAAGCCUCACUCAGAGACUAUUUACUUCUGUUUUAGGAAUGAUUAUAAUCAACUUAGCUAAAUCACUCUUCAGCUAAAGGAAAACAAACAGCAAAGUGUAAAGAGGUGUGUAUUAGUCUACUCUCUUACUGCUAUGAAGAACUACCUAAGACUGGGUAAUUUAUGAAGAAAAGAGAUUUAAUUGACUCACAGUUCCACAGGCUGUACAGGAAGCAUGGUUGGGGAGACCUCAGGAAACUUACAAUAAUGGCGGAAGGGCGAAGGGGAAGAAAGCAUCUUCUUCACAUGGCAGAGCAGCAGAAAGGGAGUAAAGGGCAAAGUGCUACACAAUUUGAAACAAACAGAUCUUGUGAGAACUCACUAUCAUGAGAACAGCAAGGGUGAAGUCUGCCCCCAUGAUUCAAUCACCUCUGACAAGGCCCCUUCCCCAACACGUGGGGAUUACAAUUUGAGAUGAGAUUUGGGUGAGGACGCAGAGACAAAUCAUAUCACCAAAUGUUUGUUGACAGAAGAAUGGGUAAACAAAAUGUGGUAUAUUCAUAUAAUACUAUAUUAUUCAGUCUUAAAAAAAUAAGAAAAUUCUGAUACACAAUACAGUAUAAAUGAAAGUUCCAGACCCAUGCAAAGUGAAAUAAGCCAGUCACAAAAAACAAAUAUUACAUGAUUCAAUUUAUAUGAGGUGCCUAGAGUAAUCAAAUUUAUAGAGCCAGAAAGUAGAGUGAUGGUUGCCAGAGGCUAGGAGAGGGAAGAAUGAGGAGGAGUUAGUGUUUGAUUGGUAUAGAGUUUUAGCUGAGGAAGAUGAAAAAAUUCUGGAGAUAGAGAGUGGUGAUGUUUGCAUAAUAAUGUGAAUGUACUUAAUGCCACAGAAUUGUAUGCCUAAAAAUCGUUUAAAAUGGUAAAUUUUAUGUUGUGUAUAUUUUACCACGAUAAAAAAACUAUAACAAUCAAAUACAAAAGCUUAAAAACAUAGAUGUAUAGUUUAGUGAAUAUAGUCAUAAACAGCUGUGUACAUACCAAAAGCUUCUUCAAAAUAUCUCUUUGUGAUAUACAGUUCAAUAUACUAAUAAUAAUUUUGCAUUAUAAAAUAGAUUAAAUUGUAUUGGUCCUUACUACUCUGCUGAGAGGGAGAGAGAGAGAGAGAGAGUAGGCAUAGACUUUAAAAACAUUUAUUUGAAAUCGUUGAAAUUAAUCAUAGUAUUACCUUAAAGGGGCAAAUUCUAUAUUUUAGAAAAGAACCCUAUAGGUUCAUUACAUACAAGUAUUUGCCAAUACUUGUCAAAACAACUAAUAUAUCACCUAGAAUACAGAAACUAAUUAUUAAAUGUUGGUUACAUUUGUUAUAUUUUUAAUGGAGAAAAUAAUCUAGAAGAAUUUAUUUCUUUCAUUUAAUUUUCUAUUAAAGCAUUGUCUCAAAGUUUGGGAAAAUGCAUUUGUUAUGAUUGUCAGUUGAUAUUAUAAUGAAACCAAACUAUUUUAGAGGGAUACGAGCCGAAGCUUUUCUGUUCUGAAUUCUGGUGAAAACCUUCCUUUCAAUAGGAAUAAAAAUAAUUUUUGCCCAAAUAUUAGCCAAGAAAAAUGCCCUGAAAGCAAUAUACUGGGAAAGGUUCUAAACUCUUGAUAAAAAAGCAAUCAAAAACAAAAUGCCAUCUCCCAGGGUCAAGGACCAAUGAGUCACCCAUUGAGAGGCUCUCUGAGCUCCAGGACACAGCAAUGUCCUUUUGAAUAUAACAUCAGGAUUUAAAGUUCCACUCGGGUACUUGUGCAGCUGAUGUAGCUGUACCACAGUUUUUUUUUUUCCAUUUAUAAUAUUUGCUUUUUUUCUCUUCUAAUAAAAAUUGGUAUGAUGACAUUUUGCAGCCAGGGGUUGGGUAUGGAGAAAAAACACAAUUCAGGGUUUAAGGCAUUAAGAAAACUUUUUUUUUUUUUAAUCUCACUCUUGUGGAAAUUCAGUACUGUUUAGUUUGUUCCUUUACUUGUUUAAGGAUUUAACAAAAUGUCUAGGUCCAUUGUUAAAAGUAUAGCAUAGUGGGCCAGGAGCAGUGGCUUAUACCUGUAAUCCUAGCACUUUGGGAGGCAAAGGCAGGUGGAUCACCUGAGGUCAGGAGUUCAAGACCAACCUGGCCAACAGGGUGAAACCCCAUCUCUACUAAAAAUACAAAAAUUAGCCAGGUGUGGUGGCGGGCACCUGUAGUCCCAGCUACUCGGGAGGCUGAGGCAGGAGAAUCGCUUGAACCCGGGAGGUGGAGGUUGCAGUGAGCCGAGAUCAUGCCACUGCAUUCCAGCCUGCAUGACAGAGCAAGACUCCGUCUCAAAAUAAAUAAAUAAACAAACAAAGUUAUAGCAUAGUGGAAAUAUAAGUUGAAGCAUUAAAGUAUACUAAUACUGACUGUUUCUAAAAGGGGUCAAAUUAGUAUGCACUUAAUGAGUUAGUCAGAAAAAUACCCACCAAAUUUAUAAUUGUCAAUGGAGAGAGUCCUGAAGAAAUAAUGAAGACCUAAUUUGUAAAAAAGAAAAAAAAAGAAAGAAAGGAAAAAAGCUCGGACAUGGAAAUCCAUCAGCUCUCUCUCUGUCUGCCUCAUCUAAUACUUCCUGAAUAUUUAGUCUCUCCAUUUGUAUAUCUGUAAAAUGGGAAUGAUAUUGACUAUACAGAGUUGUUAUAAGUAUUAGAGUUAAUACAUGUAAGUGACUGUCAGACAGCAGCCUUUAACAAAUGGUCACAAUUACUGUGAUCUCUUCCUAUGAACAUAAUGCUAUAAUACAUUAGCUAGAUCUCCCAGAACUGGACUUCUGCCUGCAUAAGAGCUACUCAGCGUACUGGAGAUGAGUCAGAUAAUACUUUUGGAAUCACACAUAUGGAGCAAAACCAACAAUUAUCUUUUCAUUACCUCUGAAACAACUUCCUUUAGGAUCCUAAGGUGCAGGGGGACCCUAAAACUCAGCAAGUACUCUCCAACAGCUUCUGAAAAAAGCCGGUCAAAAGCAGAGAUGCUAUUUGCUGAAAUUAUCCCUGUCAAGGUCUGAAAUGGAAGGUGCAAGUAAAUAACAAGUAUGAUAUGAUUCAAGUAACUGCCACCACACCUGAAAGAAAACUGUGAAAGGAACUGAGCUGUGUCUGGAACAAGGUCAAAAGAAGGGAGAGAAGCUUCUGGGGCACUGCUUUGCCCUCUAGGAUGAGACCCUUAGCCACAGCCUCCUUCCUUUCUCCCCCCUUUUGGCAUGGACAGCAGGGCAUAAGCCCUUGUGAAACAUGAAUAGGUCAGGACUUCUUCUGGAUAUUUGCGCCUACCAAAAAGUAAGACUGAAUUUUUCACUCUUUAAUUGGAUAUUCAGAGCCCAAGCCACGUGAAUAAGGACCUAAAUAACAGUGUUUACAGUGUAAGGACAUAUGAUGGGCUACCAGUUAUUAUGCCCAUUUUCUAAAUUUUGAUGUGAAAAUGAAAAGUGAAGUCCUUCAAGAUAACUUUUUUUUUUUUUAACCUGGAACUCAGAUAUGUCAAUAAAAAAAGAUACGCUUCUUCGGGCCUUAGGUGAAUUCUUUCAAUGGGUCUUUUUCUCUGCAGUUGUUUACAAUCUCCUUCCUAACUUUAGAAUGGAAAUGCCUAAUCUAGCUUGUUUAUCUCCAUUUCCAGCUCCCAGCAUAGCCUGGAACAUAUUCACUGUUUAGUGUGUAAUUUCUGAAUGAAUGAGUCCUGAAUCCAAGUUGUAUUAUGGUGCUACUGAUCCUAUCCAUGAAGAGAAAUUGUCUUUGUAGGUUAUCUCUGGGCCACGUGACUCAACGUACUUACAAGUCUAGGAAGAUGGUUUCAAUAUAAAGAAUUUGAAAGCCUCCCAUAUAUUAUUCCAUUAACCCUUACCAGCAGGAUGCUUAAGAGCACAAAGUAUAAUACAUUAAUGGGUAUCACACUAAAGAAGCAGAGACCUAAGAAAGUAAUGUGAUUUGGCCAUCUUUAAUCAGUGAAACCAUGAAUGAAAUAACAAGAGGAACAAACAAACUUAUCGGCCAUGUAGCUGGAAGCAAAGUUAAAGAGGAUGCCCUUUCUUGCUGUUAGAGCCUCAGAAAAUUAGGAACACUGCAGAAAACUACAGGGCAAAAGGUGCUUAUGUCAAAAAACAAUUUUAAAAAUCUGACUAGGCCAUUUCUUUUCUUGUUUUCUUUAAUUUUGGUUUAAAAAUACCUCACAUGUACCAUCUUCACAAUUUUUAAGUGUACCAUUCAGUAGUGUUAAUAAUAUCACAUUGUGUAUGAGCAAUCACCAGAACUUUUUCAUCUUGUAAAACUGAAACCGUACACAUUAAACAACUCCCAUUUCCCAUCCACCCCAGCACUGGCAACGGCCAUUCUAGUUUCUGUGUCUUCAAAUGUAACUAUUUGAGGUGUCUUAUAUAAGUGGAAUCAUACAGUAUUUGUUUUUUGUGGCUGGUUUAUUUCACUUAGCAUAAUAUUCUCAAGGUUCAUUCAUUGGACAAGUUCAUUUUAAGAUCAGUUUCUACCUACAUCAUUUGAAGCUUUAAGGAUGUCAAUUAAAGUGAACCUGACAUGAUCUUAAUCUCAUCAGAACAAAAUACAAAUCCCAAAUACUUAGGAUUAAAGGAGAACUUGCAAAGCAAGCACAAAGUUUACAGUAGAUUACCAAAAUUAAAAAUAAUCCCAGUUACUUGAGAGAUCAGGUGAAACAGACAAUGAGUGAGUUUUGCACUACCUAUGAGAUUAAGCAGGAAAGAACACUGGCCCGGAUGCCAAAUGACCUAAGUUCAAGUUCUGGUUCUCCAAUUAACCAGAAGGAUGAGAUUUAGCAAGUUGUUGAAUGUUUCUGAGCCUUGAGACCCCAUCUUAAAAGGUUGUCACUGUAAAAAUAAGAUAAAAUAUAUGCUAUAUCUUCGUAAUACAUAAAGUGCUUUAUAAGUGAAAUAAAAAUUAUUUUUGAAGUAAUUUUUAAAUAUAAUUGCUUAAGCUUAAUGAGUACAGAAUUUCAGUUUUGCAAGAUGAAAAAUGUUCUGUGGAUGAAUGACAGUGAUGGCCGUGCAACAAUGUGAAUGUACAUAAUGCCACUGACCUACACACUUAAAAAUGAUUAAAAUGGUAAAUUUUACAUUAUGUAUAUUUACAACUAUUAAAAAAUAAAUGUUUAAAAAAUAUGACAAUAUUUCAAUCUUAAAAGGUAAUAGCUGAAUCAGAUGAAAUAUUUUAGAAGUAGCAAUUCACAUUCUUUUUCUAUUCAGAUUUUGAAUUGCCAUUUUUGGUCCUCCCCUAUCCAAAAUACUGUCAACACCACUAACACACACAAAAUUAAAUGGCCUAAUUUUACUGAUCUUGGUAUUCUCAUACAUAUUUUUAAAGGCUCCAAAUGCAUUAAUGUAUAAUUCCUCUCAUUUUGAGGAGGCAGUUAUUGAUCUCACCAUCUAAUAUGUAAGAAAAUAGAAGCAAAAAGGUGUUAAGUGACUUGCUCCACUUUAGGAAUCAAGACUGCCAGUUAUGACCCCAAAAAUGUAAUACCCAUUUUAAUAUGAACAUUAGGGGUAUAGGGGGCUGCAGCUAUAUGUGUGAUUUUCAAAACUUAAGCAGAUUGACUUGGUUAAGUAAAUUCUUGUACUCGUAAAGUCUGUGACUUAAGAUCCUGGAACAUGCACACACACACACACACACACCCACUAACUGUAUUCUAAAAUAUUUUUGAACAUAUUCAUUGAACAAUUUGGACCAAAAUAGGUGAGCCAUGUUUAAGUUACUGUAUGCAUUAGUCACACACCUUUAGUUUUGAGCAACUUUUUGCAAAGUGUUUAUCCUUGCAUUUCUAGGCUUUGAAGUCCAGCAGCUUUUUCUUUUUCCAAAUCGUUUAUUUGAUCAACAUUUAGUAGGCAAAUACUGUUGCCAAAUAUUACUGUAUGCCCUAUUAAAUUGCUUAAAUGGCCCUUAGAUGAAUUGUUCAUUAAUAUAAAAUAUCUAAAUGGUAAGCUUGCUUUUGGGAGAAACAUAUUGCUCAUAAAAUUUUAAGAACUCUGUCCUGAGGGUCAUUUUAGCACCUUGACUUCAGAAACUGCCCAGGUAAUCCCAACCUGUGUAUAGGUAACGGACUGAUCAUAGCCUGCAGUCUGCACAUCUUCUAUUGCAGAAGUCUCUAUAAUUACAUUGACAUACGAGAAAAAUAAAUUCCAUCUACUGUCAUGUUAAAAUAUUGUUCUUAAUCCAAUAGUCCUGGAAAUAACAUUCAGGUCCUAAAUUGAGAUUUGUUCCUGCUGUAUUCAAUUUUCAGUUUCAUGUCCCACCUGCUAAGAAACUGCUAAAUCCUUGUAGGCAAUUAAAUAAUAAAUAAAUAAAACUUUAUAAGAAAUGGAAGUGAAGACCAGAACCAUGUUAUUGAUAGAGGAUAGUAAGGUAUAAACAAGGAUAGGUGAGAUUUGAUUUAUUCAGUUGGUCAAUAAUUUGCUAGAUUAACUCAUAACUCAUUCAUUGAGAACUUAGUAGGUGUUAAGCGCUGUACUAAAUGUUUCACACCAAUUAUUUCAUUUAAUUCACACAUAAUCUUAUGAAGAUGGAUACUAUUCUACUUUCAUUUUUAGGUAAGAAAAAAGACAUUCAAAGAGGCCAAGUAACACACCCAAAAUCACACAGUAUCUUAGAGUGAAAAAAUGUCUUAAAGGUCAUUGAGCUCAAAUCCUGUGUCAAUGCAGAUGUUUGGAAGAUAGCCAUGAGCCUCUCUUUAUACACUUCUACUAAAGAGGAUGAGUUUACUACUUAAAAAAUCACACCGAUGAAAGUUUCUUUCCUUAAUUUCAGUUUGCCAAAACCUUCAUCCUUCUAAAUUGUAUUCUUUGGUUGCUUUAAUUUAGAACUCCAGAGACCCCCUCCUUCAUGUAUUUGAAGAAAGAAGGCUAUAUUCCAUUUGCUGUGGCUUCCAGAACCUUCAGUUAUGACCUGAUCAACAGAGCAGAAGCCUCUGUGCAAGGGCAGAGUCUUCCUAUGCUUAUUUCAUCAUUUGAUAAGCAACAAAUAUUAAUUGGACAUUGACUAUAGGCCAGGGCACCAGGAAAGAUCCAGACAAGGUCCUGACCUUGAAGAGUUUAUAUUCUACUCAUUUGAGAAAUAAAAAUAUAUAAACAAAUAAAGUAGUUAUUCACAAGCACUAGAUAAUGUUUAAGCACUAUGAAUAAGACAAAGUAAUUGUUAGAAAAAUGAUAAAAAUGGAGUAGACUGAAUUAGCUAGCAUGAUCAGGGAAUGUCUCCUGAGGAAGUGUCACACUGGAGACUAGAGGAGGAAAAGAAGGAAGCCUGGUGAUGAUCUGGAGGAAGAUGCCAACGAAAUUUCUAAGACAAGAAGCCUGGAGGGUAUGAGGGCCAGAAAGUAUGGAUAGGAUUAGUGAGAAAGGAAAAGGUGAAAGGAGUUGAGGUCAGAAAAAUAGACAGGAACCAGUAAGUUUAGUAAGUUACAAUGGAGGGUUUUAUUUUUUACUUAUUUAGUGUUGAGACAGGGUCUUGCUCUGAUGCCCAGGCUGAAGUGCAGUGGUGUGAUCAGAGCUCACUGGAACCUCGAACUGGACUCAAGCAAUCAUCCUGCCUCAGCCUCCUAAGUAGCUGGGACUGCAGGUGUGGAGGGUUUUAUAUAAGCAAAUUAUGUACCUAACUUACACUUCUGAAAGAUACUCUGUAUUAAGGGUCAAAAAUGAGGGCAGGAAAACUGGUUUGAAGAACAGUGGAAAUAUUCAUGUGGGAGAUGGCAGUGGCCAGAUUAGGAUUAUAAUAGUGGCAGUAGUGAAAGAUGGAAGGAUUGUAGAUAUAUUUUAGAGAAAUAUUCCACAGAAUUUAUUCCUUGAGUGGUUUUAGGAUUUAAGUAAAAAAUAAAAAUGAAGAAUCACUCCUAGGUUUUGGGGCUUGGGAAACUAAUAGGUAAUGAUACAAAGUACUUAGAUGGCAAAAGCUUGAGGAGGAACACAUUUGGCAAUGGAUGUUGAUAUUAAUAGCACUAUUUGGGUCAUGUUAAGUUUAAGAUUUCUAUAGGAAAUUCAAAUGCAUAUGAUGGGAAGAUAGUGGGAUAUAUGAGGAUAGAGUCCAGCAAAGAGGUCUGAGCUAAUGAUUUAAACUUGGCAGUCACUAGCAUAUUGAUGUUAUUUCAAGUGAUUGGAUUAGAUAUUUUCACCUAAGGUAAAUAUAUAACAAUAGAAAAAAGGAGGCAAGGUCUGAGCCCAAGGUAAUCUAAGAUUUCUUUAGAUGGCAAUAAAAGAGGCUACAGCUCACAAAGAUAAUCUUACGGAAGCAUGUAGUGAAGGAAGUGAAGGAAGAAAAACAAGGUAAGUGUGGUUAGGAGUAAUGUCAGCAAGAUGGCAGAAUAGGACGCUCCAGCCUCUCCUUUCUCUCAUGGAGACACUGAUUCAACAAUACAUGGAUCAAUUUCCUCUAUGAUACAUCCUGCACUCCAGGUGAGCAAGAAAUGUGCCACAUCAAAUCUAGAAGGAAGAUUUUUGGCAUCCUCUCACCAGAGUCCCUCCUUCCAGCAGAGUCAUGCAAUUGGGAAGAAACUUUGAGCUCCCAGAUUCUCCCUAGGGAGAGAAAGAGGAGACUAGAUUGCAUGUCCAACAUUCUGACUUUUGGAGAAGGCUGCCUAAGGGACUGGCUUUUGUCUCACCUGUAAAAGAGAGCUAAUGAGACCCAGAGUAUUCUAAGUGUCUGGUGGUCACUGAAAACAAAAUUGCUAGGCAACUUGCUGCCCCUCCAGAGGGCCUGAGGUAAGCUGACAGAAGCCGACACAGUUCAGCAGCCUCUCCCUCAGGAAGGAAAGGGAAAAGUAAAGUAUGCAUCCAAUGUUCCUGCUUUUUGAUGGGAUACCCAAGGGGUUACUUUCUGAAUAUCCUGGAUUUGGGGACUGAUAGGACCUGGCAUAUUCUAGAUGCCUGGGAAGCUCUGAGAAUAUAAAAUAGCAGGUGGUGUGCUGCUUCUUCAGAGGACUCACAGUACAGCAGUCAGGCAUCAGAGGGAGUCAGAGAUUAAAAACUCCUGAAAAAAUCUAAUAAAUCUUUCUAAUUAGAAAUCUAUAUGCACAGGCCUAGAGAAGACAUAUCACAGAAAAGUUUUGAGAGUCUUCCAGAAUCCCUAGUUGGGCUGAUUGAUGAAUGCCUUUCCCUUUACAAAUCCAGUUUGUAAAGAUUAUGAGAGAUGGAUUUUUUUCAAGUGCAUAAAUACCAACACAAAUGUACAAGAAAUAUGAAUAAAUGGGAAAAUAAUCAAAUCAAAGGAAUAAAAUAAAUUUCUAGAAACCAACCUCAAAGAAACAGAGAUAUGUGAAUUACCUGACAAAGAAUUAAAAAUAACCAUCAUACAGAUGUUCAUUAGUUCAGGACAACAAUAUAUAAAAAAAAACUUCAUCAAACAUAGAAAAUAUUUUAAAAUAACAGAAAUUUUAGAGCUGAAGAAUGUAAUAACUGAACUGAAAAAAUCCACUGGAGAUAUUCAACAGCAGACUUGAUCAAGCAGAAAAAUAUUGCUAAGUUGAGGAUAGAUCAUUCGAAAUUAUCCAGUCAGAGGAACAAAAAGAAAAAAGAAUAAAACAGAGAGAAGAAAUCCUUAAGGAUUUACGGAAAAUAAUUAAGCAGACCAAUAUACACAUUAUGAAAUUUAAAAGAGGAGAAAUGAGAAACAAAGGGGAAAGAAAGCUUGUUUAAAGAAAUAAUGGCCAAAACUUCCCAAAUAUGAGGAAGGAAAUAGGCUUUCAGAUUCAAGAAGCCCAAAUCUGAGGAACUCAAAUAAGUCAAUACCAAGACAAAUUAUAAUAAAAUUGCCAAAAUCAAAGACAAAGAAAGCAUUUUUAAAAUAACAAGAGAAAAGUGACUAGUCACAUACAAGGAAAAUUGCAGACUAUAAGUAGAUUUCUCAGCAGAAAACUUGUGAGACAGACAGAAGUAGAAUAAUAACAACCAAACAAGAGCACAAUAUCUGACAAAACUGUCUUUUAAACAUAAAGGAAAGGUAAAGCUUUCCCAGACCAAAAAAAAAAAAAAAAAAAAAAAAAAGCCUAGAAAGUUUAUCACCAUUAGAUCUACCUUACAAGAAAUGCUAAAGGGAUUCCAUUAAGUUGAAAUGAAAACAUGUUAAAUAAUAAUGUAAAAGCAU
Symphalangus syndactylus (siamang) is the source of this 14178-nucleotide long non-coding RNA. RefSeq lists it as uncharacterized. NCBI's taxonomy places the organism in Eukaryota, Metazoa, Chordata, Mammalia, Primates, Hylobatidae. The record is from RefSeq and is a predicted model, not a curated record.